UGGGGAAUAUUGCACAAUGGGCGAAAGCCUGAUGCAGCAACGCCGCGUGAGUGAUGAAGGCCUUCGGGUUGUAAAGCUCUGUCUUCUGGGACGAUAAUGACGGUCCCAGAGGAGGAAGCCACGGCUAACUACGUGCCAGCAGCCGCGGUCAUACGUAGGUGGCAAGCGUUGUCCGGAUUUACUGGGCGUAAAGGAUGCGUAGGCGGAUACUUAAGUCAGAUGUGAAAAUCCCGGGCUUAACUUGGGAACUGCAUUUGAAACUGGGUAUCUAGAGUGCGGGAGAGGAAAGUGGAAUUCCUAGUGUAGCGGUGAAAUGCGUAGAGAUUAGGAAGAACACCAGUGGCGAAGGCGACUUUCUGGACCGUAACUGACGCUGAGGCAUGAAAGCGUGGGGAGCAAACA
RNAcentral lists this ribosomal RNA (402 nucleotides) under uncultured bacterium. RNAcentral describes it as "bacterial SSU rRNA". It matches the Rfam family "Bacterial small subunit ribosomal RNA", at positions 355 to 774 of the family's 1533-position model. The record is from RNAcentral.